Molecule: non-coding RNA, 94 nt
Organism: Mycena metata
Lineage: Eukaryota; Fungi; Basidiomycota; Agaricomycetes; Agaricales; Mycenaceae
Source: the annotation of a GenBank genome assembly
GGCCUGAUAGCACACAACCGGUAGUGCAUCUACUCAAAAUUCGCUUUCGUCGUUGCUUAAGCAGAAGACCCUCGUUCGAUUCGGGGUCAGGUCA